CGCUUUAAACCCUGUCGAGCAGCUGAAGGAGGGUGUUUCAGUGAGUGUUUGAGGACAGUCAGCUUGAGUGACUGACGGUAAAUGGAGUCCAUCCAAGAAGCGCAGUAGAAGCGAUGCCACCGGUUUGUCUCCGACUAGAACUUGUUUAUGGUUUAUAGUCGAUACUAUUUGAUCGGUCAGCAAUCAAUCAACAGCAGCAGCGGAGGUGAAAACACCGGGGUGCUUUCUGCUCUUCUGUCAUAUAGGCACUUCCCAGUUUGUCUGUGUUUUGAGUUCAGACGGACCUCCCCUCCACCCACACCAAGAUGCACAUGAAUAGCUUAUUAAACCAGUGCACGGAGAUCUCCAGGAUGUGUGAAGUGGACGUUUCGUCUGAGCCCACGAGCCCGACACUCUGCAAUGAGUCUUCUGACACGUACUGCCAUGUGGACCGCUGGCAGAAAUUGCGCACUGCUGUCCGCAAGCUGGAGUUCUGGGAGAACUUCACACAUGAGCUGAUUGGCAGUGGAUUCUUCUCGAAGGUCUACAAGGUGAUCCACAACACCACACGGAAGGUGAUGGUAGUAAAGAUAUAUAAGAAUGAUGUUGAUCAGGACAGCAUUGUACGAGAAAUCAGCCUGCUGCAGAAACUUUCACACCCCAACAUCGUGAGGUAUCUGGGUAUUUGUGUCAAAGAAGACAAGCUGUACCCUAUUCUGGAGUAUGUGAGUGGAGGAUGUCUAGAGGAGCUGUUAGCCAGGCAGGAUGUGCCUUUGUGCUGGAGAGAGAAAGUAGACCUGGCCUCCGACAUCACCAGAGGGAUGAUUUACCUCCACUACAAGAACAUUUACCACAGGGAUCUCAACUCUAAGAACUGUCUAAUAAGGAUGACUGCGAGAGGCAGAGAGGCGCUGGUCACAGAUUUUGGUUUGGCACGAGAGGUUGUUGAGCUUCCAUCAAAGGACCGGAAGCUGUCUCUUGUAGGCUCUGCAUUCUGGAUGGCCCCUGAGAUGCUGCGUGGAGAACCGUAUGACCGCAAGGUGGACGUGUUUUCUUUUGGGAUUGUUUUAUGUGAAAUUCUGGCCAGGAUCCCAGCAGACCCAGAAAUCCUUCCAAGAACGCAGGACUAUGGUCUGGAUGUAUCAGCGUUUAGGAAAAUGGUCAGUGGGUGUCCUCAGCGUCUUUUGGAGCUGGCAGCCAGCUGCUGUCUACUCGACGCAUUCAGAAGACCCUCGUUCACAGAGCUUCAAGAUGAGUUGGGGGAGAUUGCUGAGAGUUUGGAAACUCCUCACUCUGAGCUCACCACAGGCUGACCACCCUAUGCUAUCCCAUCAGCCCCUGCAGUCAGACACACACACAGAUGAAGUUCUGUACAUAGACAUUAGUGCAAUGACAAAAGCAGCAAAACUUUCCGACUGGAUUGUCUGGUCUCUAUUUAUUAUGGACGCUCUGAAAGUGACUACAUGGCCCUACUGUUCGGCACAGCUGUACAUAGCAUAUUCUGUGCAAUAAAUAGUAAUUGUAUAUC
Danio rerio (zebrafish) is the source of this 1507-nucleotide non-coding RNA. Ensembl annotates it as zgc:162952. The record is from Ensembl. NCBI's taxonomy places the organism in Eukaryota, Metazoa, Chordata, Actinopteri, Cypriniformes, Danionidae.